This is a long non-coding RNA of Bolinopsis microptera, 277 nucleotides long. RefSeq lists it as uncharacterized. Lineage: Eukaryota; Metazoa; Ctenophora; Tentaculata; Lobata; Bolinopsidae. The record is from RefSeq and is a predicted model, not a curated record. The transcript is spliced from 2 exons.
AAAAUUAUUGAUAGACGAGGUAGAUAAAUGGAAAAUUGAUAGAAAGUAGAAAAAUGUAAAAAUACUUACAGUAGGCACAUACAGGUUGGCCAUGUGCCAACUCGGGAUAAAAAUGAUCCCGAGUGGCGGGAUCACUUUUAAGCUUAAAGGGCCGAAAAGAUAGUUUAUUUAAAAUAUUAAAAAAUGAGCUCAAGAAAGUAUAACUAUAUCAUGCAAUUUAUUAUAACAAGUAUUAUUUUCAUAGAUUAUCUGAGUUUACAUCUUGAUUAUUGAUAAA